This is a non-coding RNA of Chinchilla lanigera (long-tailed chinchilla), 718 nucleotides long. The record is from the annotation of a RefSeq genome assembly. NCBI's taxonomy places the organism in Eukaryota, Metazoa, Chordata, Mammalia, Rodentia, Chinchillidae.
UCCGAGGAAGAUCUGCACCAGGGAGGACAGAGCGUGCAGCAUGAAAGCUCUUUCUAAACUCCUCUGUCUCCUGUUACUCUGGGUCCAAGAUUCCAGUGGAGAAGCCCUGUUGACCCUGUCUCCAGCCUCCCUGGCUGUGUCUCCAGGAGGAACAGCCACUCUCAGCUGCACGGCGAAUCAGGGUAUUAGCAGCUCCCUAGCCUGGUACCAGCAGAAACCUGGGCAGGCUCCCAGGCUCCUCAUCUACGAUGCCUCCAGCAGGGCCACUGGCAUCCCAGCCCGGUUCAGUGGCAGUGGGUCAGGGACAGGCUUCACUCUCACCAUCAGCAGCCUGGAGCCUGAAGAUGUUGCAGCUUAUUACUGUUACCAGUAUUACAGUGGGUUCCCACAGUGAUUUAACGUGGAACAAAAACCUCCCUGAGACCAUGGUCAUUGUUUUGCUCAUACCAGCUGUUUCCUUUAUAGACAGCUGCUGUGGUAUCUGCUGAGUCCUCGCAUUUCUGUCUCAAUCUGAAAAUCUUCUGAUUCUGAAAAGUAACUUGCUCAUAAGUUUUCAACUGAUUGCUGAACUUUUCUUCAGACUCAGUUGGAAAUUGUUCAGGAACAAUAUCCCUGCUAUUGGUAUCAGAUCAGAUUCAUAUGAGAUAUACAUUUUAUGUCUAGUACAACAAGGUAAUACCACAGCCAAGAAAAUGAAUUAUAUUGUACAUAUAUGAGA